GCAUGGACUGUUUCCUUGUCAUCCAACUCUGUAUUGGUCUUCUCUCCUCUUACAGUUGCUUCAUUGUACAGCCGAGGAUACAGAGGAUCAACCCGCUGAGCCUGAAGCAACAGGAGCCGCUCAACAAGAGACAAAGCCGAGACAAGCUGCCCAACAAGAGACGGUACCUCUGUGUCUGGUCCUGAAAACCCAAGGCUGGUGAAGGCACAGCUAUCAGAGGAGAAUCUGCAACCACCCCUUUCUGAAACCAGCAUAAUCCCUAACUACACUCUAAAUAUUUGUCCUUAGACCCACAGGGUUUCUAUUGCUACGAAGUGACACCAUGACCACGGCAACUCUUAAAAAG
Molecule: long non-coding RNA, 346 nt
Organism: Mesocricetus auratus (golden hamster)
Lineage: Eukaryota; Metazoa; Chordata; Mammalia; Rodentia; Cricetidae
Exons: 3
Source: RefSeq, a predicted model, not a curated record